This 494-nucleotide ribosomal RNA is filed under the name uncultured Bacillota bacterium. RNAcentral describes it as "bacterial SSU rRNA". It matches the Rfam family "Bacterial small subunit ribosomal RNA", at positions 355 to 868 of the family's 1533-position model. Lineage: Bacteria; Bacillati; Bacillota. The record is from RNAcentral.
UGGGGAAUAUUGCACAAUGGGCGAAAGCCUGAUGCAGCAACGCCGCGUGAGCGAUGAAGGUCUUCGGAUCGUAAAGCUCUGUCCUCAAGGAAGAAUUUUGACGGUACUUGAGGAGGAAGCCCCGGCUAACUACGUGCCAGCAGCCGCGGUAAUACGUAGGGGGCCAGCGUUAUCCGGAAUUAUUGGGCGUAAAGGGUGCGUAGGCGGUCCUACAAGUCAGAGGUGAAAGGCUACGGCUCAACCGUAGUAAGCCUUUGAAACUGUAGGACUUGAGUGCAGGAGAGGAGAGUGGAAUUCCCAGUGUAGCGGUGAAAUGCGUAGAUAUUGGGAGGAACACCAGUUGCGAAGGCGGCUCUCUGGACUGUAACUGACGCUGAGGCACGAAAGCGUGGGGAGCGAACAGGAUUAGAUACCCUGGUAGUCCACGCCGUAAACGAUGAGUACUAGGUGUCGGGGGUUACCCCCUCGGUGCCGCAGCUAACGCAUUAAGUACU